This 253-nucleotide ribosomal RNA is filed under the name uncultured bacterium. RNAcentral describes it as "partial 16S ribosomal RNA". It matches the Rfam family "Bacterial small subunit ribosomal RNA", at positions 524 to 776 of the family's 1533-position model. The record is from RNAcentral.
UACAGAGGUGGCAAGCGUUGUUCGGAAUUACUGGGCGUAAAGCGUGCGCAGGCGGUUGUGCAAGACAGGUGUGAAAUCCCCGGGCUUAACCUGGGAACUGCACUUGUGACUGCACAGCUGGAGUACGGCAGAGGGGGAUGGAAUUCCGCGUGUAGCAGUGAAAUGCGUAGAUAUGCGGAGGAACACCGAUGGCGAAGGCAGUCCCCUGGGCCUGUACUGACGCUCAUGCACGAAAGCGUGGGGAGCAAACAGG